Non-coding RNA from Benincasa hispida (wax gourd), 3364 nucleotides. NCBI's taxonomy places the organism in Eukaryota, Viridiplantae, Streptophyta, Magnoliopsida, Cucurbitales, Cucurbitaceae. The record is from RefSeq and is a predicted model, not a curated record.
UUUUUUGUAUUUUUAGAUAUUUAGGACAGUUCUCAAGUGUCACUAAUUUAUGACUCUAAACCCUCCCCCCUUCGUAGUUUGUGAAGCUUCAAUCGCCCAACUCUCUCAAAUUCAUUCGCUCGGCAACCACGACAACCCAACAACGCUCCAUCUUCGACGGCUACGUGACUAGACAUCAAUCUAUAGCGUUUCAUCUUCUUCCUUUUAAGGGCUCUACCCCAAACCCACACGAUUUGGUGAUUUUAUUCCUCCCAACAGUGAUCCACGACAAGGCGAGUAACCACAAAAAUUGCAAAGUAGGGAGCAACAACAACUACUUUCUUCUCCGUUCAUCCUUUCCAUGUCUUUCCAUUUCUUUCUCUUUGGCAGUCUGGAUGCGAACUAUAGUUUUCAUCGAGGUCUUCUCCGAUUUUUAAGAAAAUAGGGAGCUAGAGGUCGCCAACUACCAAAACAUCCUAAGUACUUCAUGGAGAUCAGAGAGGUGAUAAUGACAGUAAAUGAAUGUGUCUUAAUUUUGAAAGAGAGAAGUAAGUGAUUGAUUUUGACUUCAUAGCUUAUUUUUGUUGAAAAUGUAUAUAAUUCUUGAGUUUAAAGACUUCGUGUGAAUAUUUGUUGUUACAAACUAUCUUUAUUUUAAUGUUAUUUUGCCUUUAACUUACUCAUAUAUGGCCAUGUUGUAUGCAAAAAAUAAAAAAUAAAAAAAUAAUCUCCAAGAAGUUGAUAGAUUCCACGACUCAGGGAAGCACUGAAAGUUCGUAAUGGAAUUUGGAGGUAGAUUUUUUUCUCUUUCUAACUUCGUAAUGGAAUAGCAAAUAAAAUAGAUGUGGAACAUUUCAUAUUGUGUAUUCAGGGGACAGAGAGUUCGUUUAGUAUUACUAAACUAGCCAUUUCUCAAUUGUUCCUGACCAGGUACAAUAUGCAAUGUUAUUGUUAUUUGUACUAUUAUCCAAAAACUCUGGACAAUUCGCACAAUGUGCACACUGCAAUGGCAAGCAUUAAGAAGUUUUUGCCACUAAGUAAGUAUCACUUUGCACAAUCUCUCAUCUUCUUAUGAGUUAAAUGCUUGCUUUUGUUAUCAAUUAAAUUUGUUUAAAAAUGGUAGAUUUCUCUUUUGGUGAUAAUCUUAUUUUCUUUGCAAUGCUUUGUGGGUUAUCUGUUGUAGCUUGUAUAAAAAACCGAUGCUAUUUCAUCUGGCUUGAUAACAGCCAAUUCCUCUCAAAAAAAGGAAGGGGAUUAGAUUGUUCUAACCGCCUGUGUUACGCGAAUAUCUAUUUUUGGGGGGGUCCUUAUAUUUUGUAAUGCACUUGAAGUAUAUAGUUCAAAAGUUUUCAUUGUCUGUAAGUUUGUUAAAUAUUAACUUCUUCAACAAUUGAACCCACCAUCUCUCUUAUUGCAAAGUAGCAGGUUAUUAGUAAAUUUAAUACUCCAAUUUUCAGAGUACGAGUGUCACUAGCUUAGGCCUAUUUAGGAAGGAACUUUAUGUAGUUUUCAUAGUCAAACUAUCACUUAGAUAGUUUGACUAAGUGAACAUUUUAAGUGACUUUGUGAGACUUGGUCUCUUUAUAGUUUGUUUUCUAGAUUAAAAGUAUCACUAAGACAUUUUUUAGAAACUUUUUAUAUCACUUCACAGUCAAAGUGUGACUUAAAAACAUUUUUAGAACACGUAGUUUUGAGAGUCAAAUAAAACUUAGACACUUUUAUGGAACUUGUUAGUUGUCAAAGGGUCACUUAGUCAUUUUUAGUUUGUUUGGAAAGUGAGAGUGUCACUUAGAUACUUUUUAGGAACCUUUUACACGGUUUUCAAUGACAAAGUAUCAUUUAGCUACCUCUUAGGAACAUUUCAGGUGGUUUUGAGGGUCAAAGUGAGGCUUAAGCACUCUUUGUUUGUUUGGAGAGUGAAAGUGUCGCAUAGACACUUCUUAGUAACUUUUUACAUGGUUUUUAUAGGCAAAGUGUGACUUAACUACUUUUUAGGGACAUUUUAGGUGGUUUUGAGGGCCAAAAUGUGAAUUAACUACCUUAAGUAUUCCCAACUAACUAACAAAAUGAAAAAGUUUUAUUGGAGAAGGUAACCCAACUUCUUUACUGUCAGUGAGAGAUAGGUCAGUGCACUCUUUCUCUUUUGUUCUUGUUAUGGUCGUCUAGAAACAUGGAAGUUAUCUUAUAUGGUUAUCUUUUUAAAGCUAGAGUUUUUGUUAUCAUAUUUAAAAAUAUCUCAUAUGUUUCAUGGGAAGAAGACUCAAACAUUUAACAAAGGCAGUAAGUUUCCUUUGAUGGCUCUCGUAGAAUCCAUAAUACCUUAUGUUUAAGGUUCUAUUUGACAUUUCAAUCUUUGUUGCUAUCUGUUUUUGAUAAUAUUGUAUAUAUUAUCCAUGAUGGUUUCUUAUUGGUUUAUUUAUUGAAAUUGAGAAAAACUUGGUGGACUCGGUACCUGUUAGAAGAUUACCUUUCUUGUUUCUUUGAUUAGAUAUCUUUAUGUUCUUUUAUUUUUCUUAGGGCUUGAAGAACCUCAAGGUAUGUUCUCUGAUAUCAUUCUUGUUGAUUUCUAGUAUUUCUUGCUUAUUUUAACACUAAGCAUGCUUAUGGUAUGUUAAAUUCUUAAGCUCGUUGGCUAACAAUGUGAAGCUCUUUCAAAUAUUUGUUGCGCAUAUUAGUCAUGCGUGUAGUUUGUUGGAAGUAUCUGUUUUUUUUUUUUUUUUUUUUUUUUUUUUUUUUUAUCGUUAUACUAAUGGUAGUUUAAUUUUUUUCAAGUCAUUGUUUAUAGUUAUGUCUCAAGUAAGAAACAAUUUGUGUGAUGGGUUAUUUCUCUUUUUAGUUUGUUUCUAAAUUGAAAUGACCACUAAGAUAUUUUAUAUUAUGUGACCGGGAGGGUGGUUGCGAAAAAGCUAGGUAGAUUUAUUGUGAUCUACUCUCUAAAUACCUAUUUAUUAGUUUGGAUAUUGUGUUGAAGGAAUGAAUUGUUUUUAGGUGUCCAUAUAUGCCAUUAGUGAGUGAGUGUUUAAUUUUUAUUCUAGGAAUGACGUAUGAGAAGGAUGCUUAGACUUACAUGAAUGUUGUGAUUAUCAAUAACGUUUACGUAUUGAAUUGAACUCUAAAAUGAAUGUUGUAUUUUUCCUAGGUCUUACACGAACCCAUUGAAGUGGUGAAACUAUUGAUUGACGUUUGGUUAGUGACAAAACUUGUUGUAGUAUAGUUAUAGCAAUAUCUUAUUGUAUUUAGUUUCUUUGUAAAAAUGUUACCAAGGUUAGUUACUAAUUUGCUUGUAUUUGUCCCUUUGGGAUCAUUUGAUAGCCUCCUGGUAUUUAGCUUCUUUGUAAAAAUGUCAUCAACUUUAUUGUUAUAUAUGAAACUUCUUAUUUAUGUU